This is a long non-coding RNA of Prunus dulcis (almond), 413 nucleotides long. RefSeq lists it as uncharacterized. The record is from RefSeq and is a predicted model, not a curated record. NCBI's taxonomy places the organism in Eukaryota, Viridiplantae, Streptophyta, Magnoliopsida, Rosales, Rosaceae. The transcript is spliced from 3 exons.
UUCUACUACAUGAAGUUUCUUCUUCUGCCUUUUUCGAGUUUCAACCUUAUUUUUAAUCUUUUUUCGAGUCAGUAAGAUUUCCAUGACCCCAUUUUAUCAUUGUGCGCUCAUGGAGCAAUGGCAUUUGUGCGAAAAGGCUCAAACUCAGGCACCAAACAGCUUUAAGGAGGCUCUUGAUGGAGCACUGGCGAUCGUCACGUCAGCAGACAUAUAUUGUGUUUGGAGAUUGAAGAAUUACCAAACUGAUCAUACGUACCAGACUGAAAGUUAAUUAUACUGCAGCCGUCGUGCCGAUCAUAUGCAUGCGAUGGAUCGAACAGGGGCGGGCUAGCUAGCUACUACUCCGUUUGAUCAUUGAGUACCCUGUGGUGAUCGUUUUGGAUAAAAGCAGAAGACAUGAGCACAGCAGAUUC